CAGCUGCUGGGCUGGGGCUGACCCACCCGGAGGCGCUACCUGUCCCAGGUGUGCAGGCCAACGCAGUGCCCAGUCUCAACCACCAGGGGCAAACUAUGCUCAGGGAUGCAUUGACCCAGGCCAAGCAAGAGCUCCUGUCGUGAGCUCCACCACCACAGCUGAAGGUGGAAGCAGCAUCUUUAACCCCUCGUUGGCUGGCUGUAAUAUCUAUGGACCGGUUACAUUCAACAGUGGAAACACACUCCACCAUUGGCGGAAGAAGAUGGUCAGAGAAAGAACCAGAUGGAGCUAUUCUACAGGAAGUACUCACUGACCAUAAGAGUAGGAUGAAGAAGCGCUUCGAGUGCAUAUUUGAAGGUAUU
Molecule: long non-coding RNA, 362 nt
Organism: Clupea harengus (Atlantic herring)
Lineage: Eukaryota; Metazoa; Chordata; Actinopteri; Clupeiformes; Clupeidae
Source: Ensembl